CUCAAAUGAAUUGACGGGGGCCCGCACAAGCGGUGGAGCAUGUGGUUUAAUUCGAUGCAACGCGAAGAACCUUACCUGGUCUUGACAUCCACAGAACUUAGCAGAGAUGCUUUGGUGCCUUCGGGAACUGUGAGACAGGUGCUGCAUGGCUGUCGUCAGCUCGUGUUGUGAAAUGUUGGGUUAAGUCCCGCAACGAGCGCAACCCUUAUC
RNAcentral lists this ribosomal RNA (210 nucleotides) under Klebsiella pneumoniae. RNAcentral's name for it is "partial 16S ribosomal RNA". It matches the Rfam family "Bacterial small subunit ribosomal RNA", at positions 900 to 1109 of the family's 1533-position model. The record is from RNAcentral. Lineage: Bacteria; Pseudomonadati; Pseudomonadota; Gammaproteobacteria; Enterobacterales; Enterobacteriaceae.